AGGUAAGGGGCAGCUCCUAGAUACAAGGACCUCACUAAUGUUGUAAGACGAGAUACCGACCUGACCAGAUUCCGCCCUGUAUAAGGUGAAGGUCAUAUAUUCUACUCAAGACGUCUCAUGAACGCUUUCUGUGACUCUUGGCGUGGGAGGGAGAUGGUAUGUGAUUGGUUGGGGAAAUAAGGUCGAGGGUUGACGGCGAUCGUGUGGGUGAGCACAACUUCCCUCACUCGGGCAAGUUAGCAGCGGGGUACCAGAGUAAG
Long non-coding RNA from Homarus americanus (American lobster), 260 nucleotides. RefSeq lists it as uncharacterized. NCBI's taxonomy places the organism in Eukaryota, Metazoa, Arthropoda, Malacostraca, Decapoda, Nephropidae. The transcript has 4 exons. The record is from RefSeq and is a predicted model, not a curated record.